GUAGCGCUCCUUCUUGGGAUCCGCUAGCUGUGAGGUCCCUGUGCGGCUGCUGAGCGGGCGGCNGGGCGGCUGGAGGCGCUUGGCGGCUUCCGGCCAACCCACUCCUCUCCCGCGCGAGGGGGUAACCCCGGCCUCACCAGGAACAUCGAGCCCAAAUCAACCAGGAGUUACACUCAAAGUCUUCCCCCGUCUUUCCACUCCACCCGAUUUCUCUUUUCCUUUUUCCACUCCUCCACUCUUUCCUACCGGAAACGCUACCCUUUCCUCCUACAGUUCCGCCCGCCAGUCCCUCAACUCUAGUCUUCCCUCGCGCCCCGGAGUGUGACGCUAAGAACCCCCUCCCCCUGUCUGCGGCCCCUCCCCCUGCACCCCAGGAGGCUGUUGGAGGGGAUGGGGUGGAGCCCAGGGAGGAAGAGAAAGGAAACCAAUCGGAUUGGAUAAGCAGCUGCCAUGGCAACUGGAGGCUGUGGUUGUAUUGUCAUAGUAACCAAUGUGUGCGGACUGGGUGACCCUCCCUUGGCGAAUGGAUUCCCGGGAAAGUGCCCAGGGUUCCCCCUUGGCUUCCCUUCCGUCUAAAGGCCUCCCCCAGGUUGGGAAUCCGGGUGAUCUACUGGGCGGUGAGGUUCAUUUCCUCUUCCCUUUCCCCUUCCCGCAACAAUGAGGGGGGCCCCAAGGCAUUCACCGUGGGCUUUUCCACCCGCCUGCGGGCUGGAACCACCUCCAGUUUCCUCUCAGUGCCGGGCGUGGAGAGGGCCGGGCCUGCGAGGAAGACGCCGGGCCUGAAGGCUAGCGAGCUGCGGACUGGAACAAGGAGGGCGAGGCGGCGGCGCAAAGCUUCGGGCGGGCGAGGGGUUUCCCCAGGACUGCCUCCGGCUCAGAGAGGCGGGGGNNNNNCCCGCCAGGACGGGGUCCCUAAGGGAGGAGAACGGCACACGACGACCCAGAUUCCUCUCCUGCCGGGCAGGGACCUCCUUAGACUUUUCCUGGUGGGUCGACCCCUUACGGAAAUCCCCCAAAGCUCACCCGAUAACACACCCUCGGCAACCGAGCCACCUCCUGCCGCGGGGAAGCCAGAGUAAAAGUAGGAACAUCCUAGAAGACUAAUAAGUGGUUUUCUAGCGUUUAGAGCCAGGGACGUGGUGAGACGCCCUCCCUCCCGGAGGCAUCCCCCCAGUGGGGGUCCCACUUGAUUAUCGAAGACUUUCCUGUGAGGUCCUCCCUCUGCAGACUUCUCUGAUGGGUCCGCUCAGUUUUAGAAUUUGUCACUGUAUCUUUUGGGUCGGAGAGGGAAACGUUGGGUAAAAAUAUCGAGAACUUAGAUACUGGCGCGGUGAAAUAGUACAAUGAAGAACCUAGAUACUGGCGCGAAGUUCCGAGGAAAGGCAUUUAGGAAGAGGAUUUUCAUUCUUAAAACAUUUUUCUGAAAGUCUAUUAUGUGUAUUUUAUGUCAGGUUUGGGGUUAAAAACCUGAAAUAAGGAAAUGGGUCAAUAAUAACAUGGAGUGUGAGAAGCAACUGGAGAAAUGGUAAUUCUAAUGGCUUGAAGGACUUAUUUGACAUUUUACAAAUCAUUUCGAUUCAUCUUCUACGCAGCUGUUUCAAAGUACUUUAGACAGUGCAACUGUAUAACCUCCCCCCACCCUCCACCCAACCAGGACUGUAGCCCUUACUAGCGAGUUUAAAUCAGGAUUUUAAUGGGCUGUUUUAGUUUAGCUCGGUUUGAGUAACUGAUUCCUGCUGUCUUCCAUGCUAGGUGAGGAGGAACUUUCAAGAUCCUUCCCUGAGACCACACCCUAUUAAAAGACUAGACCAAUGUUUUUUUGGAACAUCAUGUAUGCGUUUAGAGAAAAUGAAAGUACAGGCCACGCUGAAACAAAUCGGAAGAAUAGAUUAUCUUUAACGAAAUAGAAACUAACCUAUGCCCCUCCUGCCGUCAGCGCCUACUGUGCUGCCGUGUGAGGCAUGGUGAUUGCAGCUGUACAAUGCCCCCUGUGAUGCCUCACUGCACCAACGCGCCACCCACUCACGGAAAAGAGAGCCACCUAGUGAAAUACUGUUCUCAUCUCUGGUGUAGGUACUUCCUUUCCGUCAACUCUAGAGCCCAAGGAUGGACAUUACUACCACAUAUUACCUAAAAUACCCUACAUGUCUUUGCUGAAAUGCACUGCUAAUCAUCACAGUUAACACCUUUUAAGUCUGUGGCUCAUAAUAUCCAGUAAACAGUGUUCGAGCAUAUGUCAUGACACUUCUGAUAAGCAAUCUAGGAGAUUAUUACUAUCUUCUCAUUUUGGAAAUAAGAAAACUGGGAUCAGUAAGAUGAAUCCUUUUGUUGUGUUUUCUACAAACAUUUACUGCGCAUCUAUUACUUUUCAGGCUCUGUCCAGGUUACUGUGGAUAUCAUGGUAAAAGAGGCAUUGUCCCUAUCUUGGAGAAACCCACCUUCUGGUAGAGAUAUCAGAGAAUGGAGAAGUGAUAAGAAUGCAAGAUGAUGGGUGCAGUAAUUAAGGUCAGAACAAAGUAUCCCAGGUACACAGAUGAGGAUCAGAAAUACAAUCUUUGGGGGCGCCUGGGUGGCGCAGUCGGUUAAGCGUCCGACUUCAGCCAGGUCACGAUCUCGCGGUCCGUGAGUUCGAGCCCCGCGUCAGGCUCUGGGCUGAUGGCUCAGAGCCUGGAGCCUGUUUCCGAUUCUGUGUCUCCCUCUCUCUCUGCUCCUCCCCGUUCAUGCUCUGUCUCUCUCUGUCCCAAAAAUAAAUAAACGUUGAAAAAAAAAUACGAUCUUUGUAUUUUAUAUCAGCUUUCCUAAGAAUUUUGUAAGAUUCUUCAAUAGCUUUACAAUGCCCCUACAAACUAGGUAGAAUUGUAGCGUUUACGUCUUAUAGGUUGUAAGACACCAAUGCCCAUCUUGAAAAUAACUUUUGAAAAUCAAUAAAACUCAGAAAAAUUAUGGCCCAGAUAUUAUACAUUGCUUAAUGUACAUUUUCCAAUCUCGUCUCUUUCUACUGCUCUCCAUCAAAAGAUAUGUAGAAUAUAAGCUUCUGUAAUAAUAGCUUUUAUUCAUUUCAUUCCCCUGCAGAUAUAGAUUACAUCUAAACCAAAAGAAAUUAAAGAGAAACUCUUAAUCCUACCUGAUUUAAGUUUUUCGUUUGUACCCUAGUGAUUUUUUUGGAAAGAUCAAAAGCUAGCAGACCUGAGUGUGCCUUUCAACUCUUCACUCUCAGUCUCUAACCUUCGGUUUCUUCCUUGACCAAAAUGGAAAUAGGCUUCCUGUGAACUUUAAUGAUGAUAUAUGUGACUGAGUAUAACUGACAUAUAACAUGGGCACUUGAUAAAUGUUAAUUUUCUUUUUGCUCUCAUAUUCCUUUAUAUCAAGCUAAAAGGAAUAAUUUAGAACUAUUGCAGCAUAAAGUCAUUUUUUUUAAAUGGUAGCUUCUCUAGUCUUUGUGAUACUCAUAGGUCUGACCACACACCCAAAUCUUUUCUCAUUCAGUGCUAAAAGAUAGAUUUCUUUACCCAUGAUUCUGAUCACAAAGAGAAUACAGUAUCAGGACAUUGUGAGUCAGAUUCUACAGGGUUGAAACUUUUAAAUAGCCUUUUGUUGCUAAAAAUAGCUUGAUAUGACUGCAUUUUGGCCCAAGUAAACAGUGUCCAGUUUUCAACCACACAGCAAGUACUUCCUGAGAAGCUACUCUUAACAUUCCUGCCACAUUUACCCAGAGCUUCAGUAACCUGAUAAUUAAUACACAGCAAGCCUCCUCCCUUUUUUAUAAUAAUAGACAAUCUCACCUGAUCCAUGAAACCAUAACAAGCACUAAUUUAUUUUCAUCUUUAGCCUACAUAUUCUGCAUGUUUCCAAAUCAUGUGCAUAAUUAGGUACUUAAUAAAUGUGUUUCUAUUUUGAUGAGUAGAAUGACUUAACUACAGCAGUCAAGUACACAAUGUAUGUAAAGCAGGUCCAUGCUGUCUUCAGUACCACACCUCAGACCAUGGAACCAAGUGAUUCAAUCAAAAGAGUGAUUCAUUCUCUUCAAAUAGUGAGUCAGAUAAAAAUGACAUUUCAACUCAGGUCUGUUGCUCAAGAUUUCAUAGACCAAAGGUUAGCAGCCUUUCUCAAACAGUUUGCCAAGUAUUUAUUUAUUCAUUCACUCCUUCCAGGGAGUCACGGAGCCUGAAAAACAAUCAGGAAGACUUGCAGUCCAAGACCCUAGAGAAAAAACUUGUGGUUUUGGAGGCACUGAGGUACCAGAGAAUGGUAGUCAGAGUGCAUUCUCCUUCUCCAUUCUCCUAAUAUUGACUUAGGGGAAACUUAUUAAUCUUCAAGAAUUUCUCCCAAUUCCCAAUUAGAAAAUACCUCUGGGAAAGAACCACACCUUAAAAUCUUAUCUGCUAAUUUAAUGGACACCAACCAUCUGGAGAAGACAAGAAGAAAUUCUCCUAGGGAAAAUUGAAGAGUAUUAAAAAAGAAAACUGAAGUUAGCCUCUUUAGUCUCUUAUACUCUAUAUUGUCCAAAAGCUAUAGUGUUCAUGGAUGUCUUUACUACUACAAGCACAGUACUUCAGAAGCCAUCCUGGUAUCCCUAGUUUGACAUCAGUGUGUUUCAUGUCAAAAUCUGUUAUGUUACCCGGAAGCUGCCAUUUUUUUCCUAAAACACUCAACUAAAAGAAAAAAAAAAUCUCUUACUAUUUUAUAGUCUGUACCUCCUUAAUUUCUGUAGGGCAGACUACUAUUUUUGAGAACAGAGAAUGUGAUACAGAUAUUCUUUGCCAUAAAUCUGCUCUUCUUCAAAACCAUGGGAAACCACAUGUGGCCACACAUGUGCAUGUACACAUGCACACCUUCUUUUCCCUGUCUUUAUUAUUUUACCACCUCUAUUUGCAAUUCGAGUUAAGAUAUGAUAUAGAUGGAAAGUAAAGAAACUCAGGAUGUCAUUUCAAGUCAUGCUAAGGAUACAUGCCCAAGGAUUGUUCUGCUUUGCUUAAUUACUCUAGGGUCUUUGCCAUCUCAGAAAAAUUCUACAUGUCAGAAUCUAGAGAGUUUGCCCCAUAUUAAUAAAAAUUCCUACUCUCAUUGGAUUGCUAGAUGUAAGAGCACAUUCCAGAACAAAUUGAAUAGUAAAUUAAUAUAUUUUUGUAUUCUACAUAUUUGCCAUAUUAAGCCUUAAAAAUUUUUUUUAUCUUCUGGCUUAAGUUCUCCAUUCGUUUUCCAUUACCCUUACAAUAAAGUCCUCCAUCAUUAGGAUGACCUACGUGGUCUGGCCCUUGCCUGCCUCUUCUCUGACACUUCCUGGUGUCACCAUUCUAGCCACACUGACCUUCUCUCAGGUCUCUCAGUGGGCAGCAGUCUUUUCUACUCAGAGACUUUACACAAGCUGUUCCCUUCUUUCUCUUGGACCACUCUUCUUCCUUCUCAUGCUUUAAGCCUAAACCUGAACGUCUUUGGAAAAACCAUCUCUACCCACCCAAUCACAAUGGAUUAGCUACAUCUCUUACAUAGUCCCUCAGCACCUUUCCCUUCCUUCUUCAUGGCAUUUUUCAGGAUCGUAAUUCUUUUUGUUCAAUGUCUGUUCCCUCCAGUUGACUCUGUAAGUUCUGUGAGGGCAGACACCAUGACUGUUUUGCUCACUUCCCUAACAGGAUGCCUGAUACAAAGGUGCUCAAUAAAUUGUUGUUAAAUCAAUUAAUCUUGGGGGAAAAAAUAGAAAUUUAGACCAUGACUUUCAUAUAAAUGCUUAAAAUUCCUGACCACCUAACUACAGAACAUAGAAGCAAUCCCUAAGCAAUAAAAAAAAGAACUUCCCUGGGCCUUCAACCCACCUGGGGCACUGAAAUCUGCUAUAUUUAACAAAAUGAAAGUUUUAAUUAAAUGAAAUUUACUUAGGCAAUGAAUAAAGAACACAUUUACAAUUAUCUUGCAGCUCAUCAAUUAUCUUGAUGUAACUCAUCAAUUAUCUUGCAGCAAAGUCCCAUACUUCAGUGUAGAGAAAGAAGUCUUCAAUAUCCAAAUCAUUUUUAUUUAACUUUUAUGCUCUCAGAUUUGGGAAUAGGGAAAGCAGUCAACCCUUUUAUUGUGUGACAAAAUAAAAACACUCCUAGGGGAGGCUGGCAAGACAAAAAAGAGGAUAUCAGCUAAUUGGUAAAUAGGAUAGAAAAAUUAGAUUUAAAAAUUCAGAAAGAAAAGUGAUUCAGAGAAUAGAAUGGAAAACUCAGUGAUCUUUGUAUCUCUCACCAGACAGAGAGAGACAGAGCAUGAGCAGGGAAGGGGCAGAGAACGAGGGAGACACAGAAUCUAAAGCAGGCUCCAGACUGGGAGCUAUCAGCGCAGAGCCCGUUGUGGGCCUUGAACUCACUGACCAUGAGAUCAUGACCUGAGCUGAGGUCGGACGCUCAACUGACUGAGCCACCCAGGUGCCCCAUUAUUGUUUUGUUUUGUUUUUUUCUUGUGUGUUGGGAUAAGGCUAAAUAAAUUGAAUAAGUUUGCUAAGGAAGGGGCCACAUGCAGUUUCACUGUAAGUGAUAUAUUGAAAUUGUUUCUGGUGGCAGACUGUCCAAUUUCAGUUAGAUAUUGUCUGUACCAUACCUAGCAGUACAAGGCGCUUCGUAGGCACUCAACAAGCAGUGCUGCUGUUAUUACGCAUAUGGGGUGAAUCAGAGCUUCACUCACUCAACUUCACACUCUAAUUAACGUAGGUUAAGCUUAUUUUUAAAAAACAAACACGAAAUGUAGAUUUGCUUUUGUAGAGAGAAAGGUACUAGCAAAAUCAUAUGACCAGCUGUAUUACAUGACCAAGUAUAAAUUGCCAAGAAGGACAACAGCUUUCAUCUCCUUACAGAGGAUGUCUCAGUUCAUUAGCAGUUUUUUGUUGGAAUGAGAUGAGAUCCAAGGUCCCUCAAAGCUGAAGAGGGUAAGGAGGCUCCUAGGGAGCAAAACCAGCUGCUUUUGCUUUCCCUGCCCUCUUACAAACUAACAUCCCUGGAAUGGCUCUCAGGCUCAGUCUCUCAACCAAUGGCUGUAAGCUUUCUGUUAUACUGCUCCCACCAAGUGAUCCAGUCCUUUGUCCAAAAGGACAUGCAUGGUUUUAGCUCUUUAACAAUGUCCCUGUGGUGGAACCAAGCCUAUAGUACAUGCCAAAUGUUGGAAUGCCAAUAUUUCCAAAAUGUAGGCAGCAGUGGCCUAGAUGUUACAGGAGGUUAUUAGCUGUAGAAAGAACUUGAAAUUAAUUUUCUAUAAGUAUUCAUGGGACAGCCUGAUUUUAGCAUUAAAGCACAGUAGGAGUCUUAGGUUGAGUUAUAAGUUUAAGGUCUAUGAGGAACAUUCAACCGAUGAUCAAUUCUUAAUCUUUCACUGUUAUUUCAAGAUAAAUCUGAACUAGGGGCCCUUGAGUGGUUCAAUUGAUUGAGCGUCCGACUCUUGAUUUUGGCUUAGGUCAUAAUCUCAUGGUUCAUGAGUUCGAGUCCCAUGUCAGACCCUGCGCUGACAGCAUGGGGCCUGCUUCUGAUUCUCUCUCUACCCCUCCCCCACUCACAUUUGGUCUCUCUCAAAUAAACUUAAAAAAAUAUUAAAAAAAAAAGACAAAUCUGAACUAAAUUUACUUCUGAGAACCUUAAUCUGGAUAUAUCCUGAUACUAAGGAGAAAACUUGUGGAGUUGUGGAUCCUCUAGAAUUUUAGUAUUUAGUUAUUUGUUCAUUCAUUUAAUCUUCAAAAAUAUAUAGAGAAUUUUCUGUGUUGGGUCAUGCGCUCAUCACUGGGGUAGAGAUGGUGAACAGUACAGUCUUGCUCUCAAAGUUUAGAGCACAACUAAGUAAAGGGGUAGUUAUAUUACAGAGUAAUAAUCUGUGGUAGAGGUCUUUGGAAUCAUUCCACCUUGAGAUCAGGUGCAGGCAUGAAAUCAGAUAACCCAUUUACAUGUCCCAGUCCACUACAAAGUCCUUGAGAAUGAGAUUUUGCAGAGUUAACUUUUCCAAAUUCUAUUACUUAGCAGGAAAAGGAAUAUAUACAGUUUAACUGUCCAGAAAAGUGAUGGAAAACUGUAGACAAAAGUAUUUUAGACUACAAUAUACCUGAGAGAUACAAAAACACAUAUAUGAAGUAUGACUACAAAACAGAAUUGCAUAGAAAGUAGUCAGAAAUACAAUACAAUAUUAAUAGCAGUUAUUUCUGUGAGGCAAACUAUUUAUGGGUGGCUUUUAUUUCUCACAUGUGCCAGUAUCUCCCAUCAACCAAAGAGUAAUAAAGUAGAUUAGAUGGUUGUUGUUGCUAUUAUUGUCAGGAGUUUCAUUUUUUGUCAUUGUUUUUUAAAGAAUGCCUGAGCUAUCCACAACAUUACAGGAGUUUAAAAGGAACAUUAGAAAUUGAAAAAAAGGGGCGCCUGGGUGGCGCAGUCGGUUAAGCGUCUGACUUCAGCCAGGUCACGAUCUUGCGGUCCGUGAGUUCGAGCCCCGCGUCGGGCUCUGGGCUGAUGGCUCGGAGCCUGGAGCCUGUUUCCGAUUCUGUGUCUCCCUCUCUCUCUGCCCCUCCCCCGUUCAUGCUCUGUCUCUCUCUGUCCCAAAAAUAAAUAAACGUUGAAAAAAAAAUUAAAAAAAAAAAAAAAGAAAUUGAAAAAAAGACAGAUGAAAGAUAAAUGUAGUAGGUUCUCACAUCCUGGUGAUUGAAACAAAGAUCAUAUUAUAAGCAAUUCCUAAGGCAUUUCCUAAGGCUCACCCCAAUGCACUAUCAGGUACUGAUACUUUCAUACAAACAAAAACUGAUGGGGGUGUUCGUGUUUGAAAUGCAUCAUGACUGACCCUCUUUGGUAAUUUUGAGUCCAGUGGGAACCAUAACAGCCUGAGAAAGAUGGAAUUCCCUAGAUGGGAUUUACAAAAGAAACAUUUUAAGUAAAAAAUAUCCAAAAUUAAACCUUGGCUUAACCUUUCUGCCUUUUUACCUUUAUAUUACUCUUCUCUUCCAUCAACUUUAGGUCACACCUCUGACUCCUCUAGUUAUGUAUAACCUGCCUUUCCACAUUUCUCUGGAAUGUGACCAGUCAGGAAUCUCAGCACUGUGCUUUUUUUUUUUUUUUCUUUUCUAUUUAUGGGUGAGAAAGCAAAAGAGGCAAAAGAACAUCAUCAAGUCUGGAGGAAGAGGAAGAAUUGAUGGAUGAGCAACGAAGUACACCCCCUGGUGGUAGUAAUAGUUCUUAGAUACCUACCUAUUAGAAUCUACUUUCCAUGAGAGACAUUAAGAAGAGAUUAGAUCCCCAAUCUGAUUAAAAACAAGAAAGGUGACCUCUAAAAUAUACUUUGAGGGGCACCUGGGUGGCACAUUUGGUAAACGUCCAACUCUUGAUUUCAGCUCAGGUCAUGAUCUCAUGGUUCGUGAAAUUGAGCCCUAUCUUGAGCUCCAUGCUGACAGGGCAGAGUCUGCUUGAGAUUCAUUCAUUCUCUCUCUCUCUCUCUCUCUCUCUCUCUCUCAAAAUAAAUAAACUUAAAAUAUAUAUAUAGACUUCCAAACUCAAUAAUCUCUGUCUUCUGCAUGAGACAUCUCUCGUCUUGCUGCCUAUAAUCUGUGACAGUUAGAGAUGAUUCCAUAUAAUGAUACAGAUGAAGGAGGCUGGUAUACACCAAAAGAAAUUGUGUAUUGCCAUUUUAAAUUGAUAUUCUCUAAAACAAAAGGUAUCAUCUGAAUUUAGCCUAUCACUACAAAGUGGAAAUGUCACCCUACAACAAACAAACAGGGACACCUGGAUGGCUCAGUCGGUUAAGCAUACUACCUUGGCCCAGGUCAUGAUCUCACGGUUAGUGGGUUUGAGCCCCAUGUUGGGCUCAGUGCUGAUAGCUCAGAGCCUGGAGGCUGUUCCGGAUUCUGUGUCUCCCUUUCUCUCUGCCCCUACCCUGCUGGCUCACUGGCUCGCUUGCUCGCUCUCUCUCUCUCCCUCUCUCCCUCCCUCUUUCAAAAAUAAAUAUUAAUCAAAUUUAAUACUUUUUUGUAAUUUUAAAACAAAAAAUACAAAACAUUACAAUCCAGGCAGUUGCUAAACUGCUAUCUACUCCACAGAAAGUCCUUUUUUACCUCUCAGGUAACUGAAAUCAUAGAGAACCAAAUCUAAAAAUCUCUUGUUUUUAUUUUUUUCAAACUUUAUGUUCCACUAGGCAAUAUGAAUCCUAUUUUCUUUACUGCAACUAUUUUUACCUUGAAUCUAGUGACAUUUCAAUUUUAAAAAAAAUUUACCACCUAAUCCUAUCUUUAAUACAUGUUAUCGCUAUGACUCUAGUGAUACCUAAUAAAUAACUGUAAAAAUUCCUUAAAUUAAAAUAGAAUGACAAGACUUAGCCACUUAUUGGAUGUGAGGGAAGAAGAGGAAGAAAUCAAGGAGAUUCCCAGGUUUCUGCUUGGGAAACUAAAUGAAAAUAGAAAACAUAAGAAAUCAGUUGGAGAGAUGUAUGGCUAUGAAGAUAAAAAUUUGUUUUAGACAUAUUGAACUGCAGUUGUCUGGGGUUGAGAAAGUCUUGUGGAUCUGGAGCAUCUGAGGGAAAUCUGAGCCAAAGUUGUAGAUUUUGAGUCAUUAGCAUGAAGAUGGUAAGAAAAGAUACUUGAGGGAUUUCAGAAAGAUUGCCUAUGAAAUGAGAGAGCUAGGAGAGGCUUUGUCUUAUAAAGAGGGGAGAGACUUCAGCAAGAAAGGAUCCAGAACAGAAAAUAAUAGAUAAGAGAUGCUAAGUAGACAGGAGCAUGGCUUCUGAGGAAACAGAAGAUAGAUUCAGCACACAAGGGCAGAAAGGGGAAAUCUCUUUUCUAGUAAAAUAAUAACGAGAUUGUAAUUGUGGGGUUUUCCUCUCCAUACUCUCACUCCUAUUUCUUUUAUCUCAUGUCCUUAUGGAUUUUAAAACUUAAGGUUACAAGAUCUCAUAGACUAAAGAAUCCAGGACAAAGACUGAUGAUAUAAGGCUAAAGCUUUCAGCACCGGAAUAUAUAAACAAUUCCUCUAAUUGCCUGCAGAAAAUCAGAGAUGAGAGCAAAACACAAGGAGACAUUGUAUUCUGCCUCCCACCUGAAACCAGAAGCCCUGAGGAGAUUUAUAGAUAUUCUAAAUAGGUUUAUGGCAUUUGAGAAUAGAACAAAAACCUCAAUCCCCAUAACUACACAAAGCCGAAGAAGGUAGCAAGACCACAGAGUUCCUCGCAUCCACACUGGCACAGGAAAAUAGUUAAAACAGUAUUGUGAGCUCAUGCUUUGAAUUUCUACAUCUUCAAGAACUGCAAUCAUAAAAACAUUUUUUUUUUUUAAUUAAAAGACAUCUCUGGGUUCAUUAGCAAGAUUAUUAUCUCUGGACAUCAGGAUUGAAUGAGCAACACAACUGGGUUAAUGA
RNAcentral lists this long non-coding RNA (11336 nucleotides) under Lynx pardinus (Iberian lynx). The record is from RNAcentral. Lineage: Eukaryota; Metazoa; Chordata; Mammalia; Carnivora; Felidae.